Long non-coding RNA from Dendrobium catenatum, 313 nucleotides. RefSeq lists it as uncharacterized. The transcript is spliced from 2 exons. The record is from RefSeq and is a predicted model, not a curated record. NCBI's taxonomy places the organism in Eukaryota, Viridiplantae, Streptophyta, Magnoliopsida, Asparagales, Orchidaceae.
UGUUAUAUAAUAUUGAAAAAAAAAUUCAUUUCUUUCAGCUGAUUGGUGGUUGGCAUAUGGACAAGGAGCUCCCAAUUUACAAAGCUUUGCUAUCAAAGUCCUAAGUUUAACAUGUAGUUCAUCUGGAUGCGAACGUAAUUGGAGUAUUUUUGAACAUCUUCAUAGCAAACGAAGAAGCAAAUUGGAUCAUGGUCGCUUAAAGGAUUUAGUUUAUGUGAAAUAUAAUAGAGCACUGAUUCGGAGAUUCAAUCAUCGUGAUGUCAUUGAUCAUAUUUCUUUGACUGAGAUAGAUGAUGCAAAUGAAUGACUAACA